RNAcentral lists this ribosomal RNA (274 nucleotides) under uncultured bacterium. RNAcentral's name for it is "partial 16S ribosomal RNA". It matches the Rfam family "Bacterial small subunit ribosomal RNA", at positions 523 to 796 of the family's 1533-position model. The record is from RNAcentral.
AUACGGAGGGCGCAAGCGUUGUUCGGAAUCAUUGGGCGUAAAGCGCGUGUAGGCGGCUUGGUAAGUCGGGUGUGAAAUCCCGGGGCUCAACCCCGGAACUGCAUUCGAAACUGCCUCGCUAGAGUCCCGGAGAGGAAGGCGGAAUUCCCGGUGUAGAGGUGAAAUUCGUAGAUAUCGGGAGGAACACCAGUGGCGAAGGCGGCCUUCUGGACGGUGACUGACGCUGAGACGCGAAAGCGUGGGGAGCAAACAGGAUUAGAUACCCCGGUAGUCC